RNAcentral lists this microRNA precursor (206 nucleotides) under Oryza barthii. RNAcentral's name for it is "MIR812 microRNA precursor family". It matches the Rfam family "MIR812 microRNA precursor family". Lineage: Eukaryota; Viridiplantae; Streptophyta; Magnoliopsida; Poales; Poaceae. The record is from Rfam by way of RNAcentral.
AAAAAGACAAACCCUGAGUUUUCGUGUCCAACGUUUGACUGUUCGUUUUAUAUAAAUUUUUUUUAUAAUUAGUAUUUUCAUUGUUGUUAGAUGAUAAAACAUGUUUAAUAUUUUAUACGUGACUUGUCUUUUUAAUUUUUUCAUAUUUUUUUCAAAUAAGACGGACGGUCAAACGUUGAACAUGGAAACACAGGUUUGUUUUUUUU